RNAcentral lists this small nuclear RNA (145 nucleotides) under Colobus angolensis palliatus. RNAcentral describes it as "U2 spliceosomal RNA (ENSCANG00000017937.1)". It matches the Rfam family "U2 spliceosomal RNA". Rfam says of the family: U2 is a small nuclear RNA (snRNA) component of the spliceosome (involved in pre-mRNA splicing). Complementary binding between U2 snRNA (in an area lying towards the 5' end but 3' to hairpin I) and the branchpoint sequence (BPS) of the intron results the bulging out of an unpaired adenosine, on the BPS, which initiates a nucleophilic attack at the intronic 5' splice site, thus starting the first of two transesterification reactions that mediate splicing. The record is from Rfam by way of RNAcentral. Lineage: Eukaryota; Metazoa; Chordata; Mammalia; Primates; Cercopithecidae.
AUCACUUCUCAGCCUUUUGGCUAAGAUAAAGGGUAGUAUCAGUUCUUAUUAGUACAGUAUCUUUUUUUUUUUCUUUUGAGACAGAGUCUCGCCCUGUUGCCCAGGCUGGAGUGCAGUGGCAUGAUCUCGGCUCACUGCAACCUCC